UACGGGGGGGGCAAGCGUUGUUCGGAAUUACUGGGCGUAAAGGGCUCGUAGGCGGCCGACUAAGUCAGACGUGAAAUCCCUCGGCUUAACCGGGGAACUGCGUCUGAUACUGGAUGGCUUGAGUUUGGGAGAGGGAUGCGGAAUUCCAGGUGUAGCGGUGAAAUGCGUAGAUAUCUGGAGGAACACCGGUGGCGAAGGCGGCAUCCUGGGCCAACACUGGCGCUGAGUGAGCGAAAGCCAGGGGAGCAAACGGG
RNAcentral lists this ribosomal RNA (254 nucleotides) under uncultured bacterium. RNAcentral's name for it is "partial 16S ribosomal RNA". It matches the Rfam family "Bacterial small subunit ribosomal RNA", at positions 524 to 776 of the family's 1533-position model. The record is from RNAcentral.